GAUGAACGCUGGCGGCGUGCCUAAUACAUGCAAGUCGAGCGAACAGACGAGGAGCUUACUCCUCUGACGUUAGCGGCGGACGGGUGAGUAACACGUGGAUAACCUACCUAUAAGACUGGGAUAACUUCGGGAAACCGGAGCUAAUACCGGAUAACAUGUUGAACCGCAUGGUUCAACAGUGAAAGACGGUCUUGCUGUCACUUAUAGAUGGAUCCGCGUCGCAUUAGCUAGUUGGUAAGGUAACGGCUUACCAAGGCAACGAUGCGUAGCCGACCUGAGAGGGUGAUCGGCCACACUGGAACUGAGACACGGUCCAGACUCCUACGGGAGGCAGCAGUAGGGAAUCUUCCGCAAUGGGCGAAAGCCUGACGGAGCAACGCCGCGUGAGUGAAGAAGGUCUUCGGAUCGUAAAACUCUGUUAUUAGGGAAGAACAAAUGUGUAAGUAACUACGCACGUCUUGACGGUACCUAAUCAGAAAGCCACGGCUAACUACGUG
RNAcentral lists this ribosomal RNA (497 nucleotides) under uncultured bacterium. Its description in RNAcentral is "partial 16S ribosomal RNA". It matches the Rfam family "Bacterial small subunit ribosomal RNA", at positions 28 to 507 of the family's 1533-position model. The record is from RNAcentral.